This 15806-nucleotide long non-coding RNA is filed under the name Triticum aestivum (bread wheat). Its description in RNAcentral is "long non-coding RNA (TAES_LNC024024)". Lineage: Eukaryota; Viridiplantae; Streptophyta; Magnoliopsida; Poales; Poaceae. The record is from RNAcentral.
AACAAAACCAAACCAAACUGAGCGAUCACCUUAGGUCACCAACCUUUUCAGAACCAUAAUCUUUACAGUGCUAAGUCACCCAUAUGCCCUUUGUGCUACUUAAUAAAUGCGGCAGUAAAUCAUCUCCUUGUAACAUCUCAUACCAAAAACAAGCGUUUUCUCAACAGAGACUCGCUUCAUGGGAAGCACCCUAAUUGACGCUCCUAAACUCCGGUGACAAAAUGUCUCAAGAACAGCAUUCGGCACUUCUGCGAGCAGGGACCAUAGGUGUGAUACUUCAGUCAAACUAUGCCAUUGGUUGUCGCCUCCUGAAAUACAAGAUUAUAACCAAGUUAAUCAUAAUUUGAUACUUGUAUGUAAUUUCUAAUAGCAUGGAAAAGCAUCUUUCCUAGUAAUUAUAAAUGCUGAACUUGGUGGUGAAUUCGCAUGUGGGCCUACCAGGCUUCACAAUAAACAAAUACACUCCUCCCCACAACCUUCAAAGAGACAUAAAUAAUUGUACUUUGCUCACAUGUGAGACCUAACACACAAAAAAAUACCAGACCCAUGGCCUUGUGCCGCAAUCAACUUACUAAUGACUACCUUGAUAGGAUUUAAAUUCGCAUAUGAUGUCUCACUUCAAAUCUUGCAAAGUACCUACUACGGUCACUUAAAAUUCUCCGACGCCUACCACUCAUUAUCAUAUUUUUGCUUUAUUUUAAUCGUCAAUCGUGUAACAGCCUUAGGACACUAUCAUCUUUUCACCGUCUCCUAAACCAGUGGCUUAACUCUUCGUUUUUUAUGACUACGCAUGGGCAUUGUGCUAGCAGGCAAUACAAACUGAGUGGAGCGAGUCCACAUUCAGUUAUCCAAAAUGGAUGGUUUCGCUAGAAAAUAUAAUUUUUAAUAGUCCAUAGACUGCAUAGCUUUUUUCAUAGUGUCAAAAAAUGAUCUUAAAGUUUGGAACGGAGGGAGUAUAAUUUAGUUAUUACUAGCCAAAAUAGCAAGAUACUAAUGAAGAACAGAUGUAAAAAUUCCCAAGUGAGAGAAAUACCUUUUUGGUCGGAUGCGGUCCUCCUCAAAAUCCAUUAUUCCUCCAGAUUCAGAGAGAAAGUCGUCAUGCCCCCGUAAGUCAUUGUCUGCCUGCUUACAUUGUUCAACUUCUGCUAUCAAGUAAGAAAAUGGUCCGGCAAUUCCACUAUUUAAUAAAAUUAGUUGCUACCAUAUGAACAUUCAACAGUUGAUAACUAAAAUCAGAAAGCAAACAAUUUUAGGUAAAAAAUACAGCAGAAUGAAUAUAAUCAACAACCUAUUGUCAUAAGAGAUAUGCAAGACUUUAUCAUAGCUACAGAAAAAAGGAAAAUAUUUUAUAUCUACUAAAAACUAUAAAUAGUAGGAACUUUCAAUUUUAUCCAACUGACCUUGACUGACUUCUUGGCUUCUUCCACUCUGUCUUCAAAUUCUUUCUGGUGCUUCUUGUUCAAUUCACUUGUUGUAUCCGCCCACUUGAUUUUCUCCUGAAUUUGGUGUAAUAAAUUAUCUGAUGUUCCCAACCUGUGAAAUGUACACAUUUGGAUCAUAAUGGUAACAAUAUACUUCUGUCGAGCCCCUUGCGAUACAGUCACUUCAUAAUGCACAGUGGAGAUAAAAACAAUAUUUUAACUUCUUUAGUUUGUUAUAGAAAUGUCAGUCGUAGAAAAACAACAUGCAUACAUGUCACAACAGCCAACUGACAGACGUUUAUCUCCUUCAUAACUAAUAAGGGGAUUCAGACAUAGCAGAGAGAAAAAAGAACAUGCCUAGACAUGCUACCCACUACAGUUUCAGAACAGAACUGAAAAUUACACUAACCAAAUAAUGGUUAUUCAAAACAAUAUGAAAAGAUUCACAUUUCUUGAACAGAUGGAGAUAAACUUGUCGAAACAUAUAAAUACACACCAGUCAGACAAGGUCUCAAUCAUGUUGGUUAGCUGAUCAGGUGUGAGGUCCCUUCCAGCUGCAAAUUGUACCUGAAAUACAAGGAAACAAAUAAUAAGGGAAUAUUGCUAGAAAGGUGAAGGAUAAAUUCAUCAAUGAUGUAACAUAUAUAGGCUCCAUAUAUGUCUUACUUCAAAGCACCGCCGCAGUUGGUCCAACUUGCCUCUGACAAUACCCUAAUGAAACAUGCAAAAUGUUACAAAAUUGAAGCAAAUUAACUAAAUGUUUUGGAAAUCAAGAAACACAGUAUAUUAAUCCUAAAGGGUAAAGACAAAACCACACAGCGAAGACAUAUCACAAUCUAAAUCUCACAAAUAUAAAAAAUACUCCCUCCGUCCCAUAAUAUAAGAGCGUUUUUGACACUACACUAAAUGAUAAAUAAUAAUUUCAAAAGAGCCAUUUCUUGCUAAUGAAGUUGAAGGAUGAGAAUGUAUAGAAUGCAAGUGUGUAAUAAAAGAGAACACAAGGACUUACUGAGUACAUGCACUCAUUGAUGAGGAAAUCUUCAAGUUCUCUCACAUUGGAAACGUCUAGCUCUUGCAUGAGCUGAUCAUAUGGAAGUACCUAGAAAGGAAUGAGAAAAAAAGUAUGUUUACGAUUACCUGGCGUCAAACAUAGCUCAUAUCAGAAUUAAAAAGAAUUACUGCCUACUCCCUCCGUUUCUAAAUAUAAGCCUUUUUAGAUAUUUCAAUACGGACUACAUACAUAUGUAUAUAGACAUAUUUUAGAGUGUAGAUUCACUCAUUUUGCUCCGUACGUAGUCCAUAUUGGAAUCUCUAAAAAGUAUUAUAUUUAGGCACGGAGGGAGUAUAUACGUUUAAUCAAGCUAAAAAGAUAAAGAUAGGCCCAGAAAUUUUGUAACCCUUGAUUACACAAACAUAAUGAAGUUCCUGCAGCUAUUGUUUAUCAAUUUAUAAAGGAAAAAUACCAGUAAACCUUGCAGACUUGGCUCCCAAACAUACAGAAAUACACAAACCAUUUACAACUAGAGAACUAAGAGGCACUAGAAGAUUCAAGAAAUCCAGACAACAAAUACACCGUCCUAAAACGACAGGCAGCACUGGAACUACUGCUCACAUGAUUACAUGCGAGUUUAUCAAGCUUCAUUCUGUGUCCAAAGAAAGGGGAGCUGAACAGAAAUGCUAGGCAUAUUAGACAAGAUAGCUAGAAUUUAUACCUUGGUUGACUCAGCCAAAGUUAGCACACUGAGUUGCUUCAGCUUCCGGGCUUGAUCAGGCAACAAUGCAGGGAGGGCGCUAGAAUUACCUACAGAUAAAGAGUAAUUACUCAAGCAAUACAUUUUCAUAUUUUCGUAUGUUGCAGGGCAUGCUAAUGGUGAUGAUAGAUGAAACAAAGUUCUAGCAAUCAAAGACAUGCUAAACUAAGUCAGAUGCCCAAAGGCAGGAAGGAAUUCAUGCCAGCAACAAUUUCACCCAGAAAAGGGUGACUGCUGCAUAAAAAGGCAAAUUGAUUACCAGAGCUGAAGCUCUACUUUUAAGCACAUCAAAACAAAAUUUGGAAAAUUAUCUGCAAAGGACACAACACAGGAACAGGUGGCUAUUUGUAUUAAUUCAACUGAGCAUCAAAGCGUAAACAUCAACCGUUAAUUAGACGAGUAAAAUUAUGUAGAUUUAACGUUCCCAGCAAAGUUGCCCUGUUAUGCGAUCAUUAGGGCUUCAGGGCAAAUGGCUAAAUUAAUAGCGUACUACACAAACACAUGGCAGAUCAGAUAAUGAGUCACAAAGCACAAAAUACAACAAACUGGAAUAAACAAAACACCGCCUACAUAUCAAAUCAAAAGGGCAAUGCAUCAUGUGUGCACAUCAGGCCAAGGGAGAUAUCUUACUCUUGUAGUCCUUGAGGGUGCCGUAGGCGAAGAGGCGGAGCAGGUCCAGCGACGAGGCGUACUGCGUGCCCGUUAGCUGCACCAGAGGAGCCACACCACGGAACAAUAGAUCGAAUCAGAAACCCCAUGGUGGGAACUGAAAACCCUAACACCUAACACCGCGUCGGCGCAUAGACGGGCAGAGCAAGCAGCAGAUACCUUGGAGAGGGCUGGAAGGGUGAGGAGCUCGGAGAAGGCAAAGAGCGCCGGGUGGGAGGUGGCCUCGAGCACGAGCGCCGCCAGCUGAGGACCCGAGGAGAGCGCCGCCGCCUGCGCCGAGAACUGCUCGAUCAGCUCCGCCUGCCGCCGCUCCGCGUCCAUCGCCAUCUCAGCCGGCGACGGGAGGUGCUGGUAGGGUUAGGGUUCGGGGGAUCUCUGUCUCUCCUGCUAGUCCUGCGGUUUUGCUUUCGCUUCGCCUCCCUGUGGGCUUCUCGUGUAGUUUUUGGCUUCCGGUGGGGUUUUGGUUUGGAUUUUUGUUUCGGGAUGGAGUCGACUCGGUGCCGGUGGUGUCCGCCAGGUUGCCGCGUACUUUGCGUGGGUCGCUUGCGUUGAGAUUAGUUGUAUUUAUUUAUUUAUUGAUUGACGAGAGAGAUUAGUUAUUUUCUUAGUCGCGUUGAGAUUAGAAUUUUUUUAAACAAAUUUAUAAAAUCUCAAAAUAUGAUAUCAGAAAAUUUCAGUUAUAUAUAAUCCCACUAUCCUCCCCUGGACCGAAGAGUGACUCUUCGUCGCAUGGGCCAAAAAGCGCUCUACGUUUCAAGAAAGGCUGAAGAGAGAGUUUUGACUCGUUGCCAAAUUCUUGCUCCAACUAAACUGUCAUGAUGACAAAAAUUGAUUAAGACAAAGAAUAACUUGAACCGUGCAUCAUGGAGAAUGAAUUAUGUCAGAUUGGUCUAAACAAACCAUCGCAAGCUUACAUCACGCUCGGUGAGAAAUAUUUCAAUUACUCUCACACAUAUACUCAUCUAGAUGAUGCCAACUAUCGGUAUGGGGACCAUUGGUUUUACUCGCCCAACUGUACACGAGCCACAAUAGCCUUCUUGCCAGGGAAAGACGCCAAGUGAACGCUUUGUCAAAAUAAUCUCCCUGAGAUCUGUAGUAGUAUGCAGAUCUUUGUUAAGGCCAUCACCAUGGAGUCCGUGAUAGCAUGCAGAUCUUUGUCAAGGCCAUCAUCAUGGAGUCUGUGGUAGCAUGCAGAUCUUUGUCAAGAUCAAAUAUACAAACUCCGAAAUCAAUACUAUAAUUAAGCAAUUGUUUUCUUUUAAUAUCCUUUUCAAAUCUCCAAUCCACAACGGGUAAAUCUAUCGGACAUACACGAACACAUACUUCACAAGCAAUACAUUUAUCAAAUUCAAAGUGGAUUCGCCAUCGGAAACGCUCUGGUGUAAUUGAUUUUACCUUCGCUAGAAUUCCACAUCAGCAACAAGGUGUGUAUCAAGAAGAGUUGUCCAAGCAACAUGGCAACAAACCCAAGGUAAGGGAUAUCUGGGAAUCGACCAUGGCGUCCUGCAAUGUCGUUCCUACCCGAUCCACGAAGGACCCGACCCACAUUGGCAAGCGGUGGCAACAGGGCACCACAUCAAGUACGUGGCGUACCAGUGCUACGCAAACAUACCUUUUCCGUUAAAUGGCGAGCGUACAGGUGUAUUGGUGGAAUUACAGUGAUGCAUGUGAUGAAUCAUCACAUGUUUAUCGUGCGGUUGACACAUGUACUGCACACGUAUGCGUGUCGCACUAAUAUUAGGUAGAUACUUUAAGCGGCGUAGAUGUGACGGGUAUUAGUUUCGGAGGCCAGAAGAUGAUCACAUUGCAGGUCAUUUAAUGCAUCUGCCUACUCUAUCACAGCUAGGUAUAGACUACUGUAGCCCUUGUGGUACCUCUUGAGUUAUAAAAGAAGGGCCUGACUACACAGAAAAGGGCUGGACUUUAGUUAAUACAUAAAAGCACACAGAUAAUUAUUCCCUUGCCGGUAAAGACUUGUAGCUAUCUGCCCACAGCAUAAAAACUAACACAAAGUAGGAGUACGGUUUUACACAAUCAUGCAGCCCGAAUCUGGGUAGAUCCUCAUGUGUUAUACGAUCUCAUUAGGUGUUGAUCCUCAUUUUGUUCCCUACACCACGAAUCGGCAAAGGAGUCUUUCCAGUCCUUGGUGUCUCGUGUGUGUUCUGCACAUGCACGACGACACCAACCUCAUAGACACUAUCCCUCGUACUAUUCUUGUCACUGACCGCGCACACCAUGAUCCAUGUCAUCCGCGGGCGUGAAUCGGAUGUUGCCAACUCCAACAAUGAACACAAUUUUAAGAGGAGUAGUGUAUAGGAUGUUAGUGACAUCUAGAUGAGUAGAUGUGUGCAAUUAAUUGAAAAUGUCUCAUCGAGUGCGAUGUAGCCUUGCACUGGUCAAUGCGGAAUGAAAUUUCGUCCUCCGCAAUGCAUGAUUAAAGUGGUUCUUCAACUGAAUGGAUUCUCCUCAUCGAUGCGGUCUUGGUGGUGUGAGGGUUUGACCAGGACAAGUUGUGGUGUAUAGGGAUGUGCAUGCUAGGUGAAUGUCCACUCUUCCUCUCUUACAUGAACUCUUCAUCUAUUACAGGAACGCAAAACCCACUCUUGGUUUAUUACAGGGACGAAGCCCAGCUCUUUCACUUUCCUACGAACGAAGGGUGAUCUUUAGCCCAAACUUGAACGGAAAGGGCCUCAUCAGCCCAUGUGUGGAUGAAGAGUCACACUUCGUCCCAGGGGAGGACAGCCAGGGUAUAGAACAUGAAUUUAUUAAAUCCUAUCCACAUCUUUGAAAUUUCAUAAAAAUAUAUUUUAAAAAUAGAUUACUACUCCAUGUGUGUUGUUGCGGGAACUUGUUAAAAGAAAUGCAUAAAUAUGAAAGGUUGCUAGCCGAUGGCUGGCUGUAGGGGAGGAAAAACAAUCGCCUCCCCUGCCUUCCGAUGCGAUGCACCUGACCGUGUGAGCAUGUUCCCUCUCCCCUGCUCCAUUCCAUCUUUAUUGCAUGAUGCAACACCAUGUUAGAGCAGUUGCGAAACCGCUCGAGCAACUCAGCAGCCCUCGCGUAGCAUUCCCCACAACAACUGUUGGCUCGUAGCACCACGUUGAUCCACGUUGCAAUAGGCUUCGACACCCCUCGCCGUAGAACUUGCAGCAUCAAUGACCAUCAUCGUAGCAUGCGUGCAGCAGCUUUGUCGCAAACAUCCGACCACCCAAUGCUGAGCUUGUCAUCGAUGGAUGGCUUUGCAGCAGCUCCUCACAACGCUAGGUGAUGUUGCAACCGGCAAGCUAGCAACACCAUGCUUCUUCCCUUCGCAACAUAGGUGAUGUCGCGACGCGGUGAGCUCAUUGAUCAAAGCAGUAGGUGAUGCUACAAACCUGCCACCCUAGUUGCAACACCUCAUCGUCACAACAUCCACGGCUCAGUGCUACUGCCCAGUCAAAGCAGAUGUCAUCCGACACCCCGUCGUUGCAGCAGACCUCGUCCGGUGACUCACCAUUGGAGCAGACCCUAUUAUCAGCCUUGCAACAACAACAAGCCUCUUCACAUGCCUUGCAACGGCAAGCGAGGUGAUGGCCAGUGGUGAUGGUGUGGCGUGUGAUAGAUGUAUGGAUGCACUGGUAAAUUGUAUAGGUGCACUAGUUCAAAUUAUAACUUUUACACUGGUAAAUUGGAUGGUAGAAAUAGUUGUGUAAUAUGGAUGGUAGAAAUAGCCUUUUAUAACCUGAACAAAUAACACCAGCAAGGUAACAAGUGACAAAAGUGAGAAAAAACGAUGUUCAAUGCUUGGAAAUAAGGCCUAGGUUUCAUACUUUCCCUAGUGCAAUCUCUCAACAUCAUUAACAUAAUUGAAUCACAUGAUAAUCCCUCAAAGCGUGACAAAAAAUCACUCCAAAGUUUCUAUUUUUAUUAGAGAAAGUAAUAUGAAAUUGUGUAGGUAGCAAAACCACCUCAAGGUCAGUCUUUCCAGUCAAUCUAUUAAGCCACCCCAAAGUCUCAUGAAUAGCCCUAGAGAUCGUACUACGACAACGACAUAUGAAACAUAUAUCAAAUAACCUUUAUGUCACCUAGAACACCCCAUUUGUGUUUGGACCUUCUCAGUCCAUAGAAAAAUCACAGUAAAUUUUCAUCGGGUUUGGACCUUCAUAGAUAUGUUUUCUGUGAAACAAGAAACAUGGAAAAAAAGAGGAAUUGGCACUGGGCACUGGAUUAAUAUGUUAGUCCAUAAAAAUAAUAUAAAAAUACCAAAACUAUAUAGAAUUGAUAUAAAUAUAGCAUGAAUACUUCAUAAAUUAUAGAUACAUUGGAGACAUAUUAGGUGGUUGGCACAAAUUGUUGAUUAGACAGGUGUAUUGAAUCGCUUUCAUGAAUAUGUGCUUAAAAGGACUAAAACUAAUGAAAAAACAAAAAAUAAGAGUGUUCUUGGUUCAAAAUUUUAAAAUAAUAAAACCUACGAAGUAUGUGAAAAGAUGGUGUAUAAAAAAUUGAAUUUGACACAAUGCACCAUCAAGUAUGAACUAUAUAUUUUACUUUAGAUGUACAUGAUACGUCUUCAACGUAUCUAUAAUUUUUUAUUGUUCCAUGCUAUUAUAUUAUCUGUUUUGGAUGUUUAAUGGGCUUUAAUAUGAUCUUUUAUAUUAUUUUUGGGACUAACCUAUUAACCGAAGGCCCAGUGCAAAUUGCUGUUUUUUUUGCCUAUUUCAGCGUUUCGCAGAAAAGGAAUAUCAAACGGAACGAAACCUUCGCGAGGAUCUUUUUUGGAACAAACGCAAUCCAGGAGACUUGGAGUGGACAUCAAGGAAGCAACGAGGCAACCACGAGGCAGGAGGGCGCGCCCCCCACCCUCGUGGGCCCCUCGUAGCUCCACCGACCUACUUCUUUCGCCUAUAUAUACUCUUAUACCCUGAAAACAUCCAGGGGAGCCACGAAACUACUUUUCCACCACCGCAACCUUCUGUACUCGUGAGAUCCCAUCUUGGGGCAUUUUCCGGCGAUCUGUCGGAGGGGGAUUCGAUCACGGAGGGCUUCUACAUCAACACCAUAGCCUCUCCGAUGAUGUGUGAGUAGUUUAUCACAGAACUUCGGGUCCAUAGUUAUUAGCUAGAUGGCUUCUUCUCUCUCUUUGGUUCUCAAUACAAAGUUCUCCUCGAUGUUCUUGGAGAUCUAUUCGAUGUAAUACUUUUUGCGGUGUGUUUGCUGAGAUCCGAUGAAUUGUGGGUUUAUGAUCAAGAUUAUCUAUGAACAAUAUUUGGUUCUUCUCUGAAUUCUUAUAUGCAUGAUUUAAUAUCUUUGCAAGUCUCUCCGAAUUAUCGGUUUAGUUUGGCCUACUAGAUUGAUCUUUCUUGCAAUGGGAGAAGUGCUUAGCUUUGGGUUCAAUCUUGCGGUGCUCGAUCCCAGUGACAGAAAGGGAACCGACACGUAUUGUAUUGUUGCCAUCGAGGAUAAAAAGAUGGGGUUUAUAUCAUAUUGCUUGAGUUUAUCCCUCUACAUCAUGUCAUCUUGCCUAAUGUGUUACUCUGUUCUUAUGAACUUAAUACUCUAGAUGCAUGCUGGAUAGCGGUCGAUGUGUGGAGUAAUAGUAGUAGAUGCAGAAUCGUUUUGGUCUACUUGACACGGACGUGAUGCCUAUGUUCAUGAUCAUGCCUAGAUAUUCUCAUAACUAUGCGCUUUUCUAUCAAUUGGUCGGCAGUAAUUUGUUCACCCACCGUAAUAUAAGCUAUCUUGAGAGAAGCCACUAGUGAAACCUAUGGCCCCCGGGUCUACUUUACAUCAUAUAAGUUUCCGAUCUACAAUUCUAGUUUACUAUUUAUUUUGCAAUCUUUAUUUUCCAAUCUAUACAACAAAAAUACCAAAAAUAUUUAUCUUAUUAUCUUUAUCAGAUCUCACUUUUGCAAGUGGCCAUGAAGGGAUUGACAACCCCUUUAUCGCGUUGGUUGCAAGGUUCUUGAUUGUUUGUGCAGGUACUAGGCGAUUUGCGUGUAGUCUUCUACUGGAUUGAUACCUUGGUUCUAAAAAACUGAGGGAAAUACUUACGCUACUUUGCUGCAUCACCCUUUCCUCUUCAAGGGAAAACCAACGCAUGCUCAAGAGGUAGCAAGAAGGAUUUCUAGCGCCGUUGCCGGGGAGAUCUAUGCUCAAGUCAAGACAUACCAAGUACCCAUCACAAACUCUUCUCCCUCGCAUUGAAUUAUUUGCCAUUUACCUCUUGUUUUCCUCUCCCCCACUUCACCCUUGCCUUUUCUUCGCCUCUUUCCCGUUUGCCUUUCUUUCGCCAUGGCCGAAUCAAAAAGGGCUAAGGGUUCUCUCCCGGGUUUUAGUACUUUGGAUAGUCCCUUUGUCCUCUCUAAGCUCAUAAAUAAUGAUGCUAUGGAAAGACCUACCGGGGUUAUCAAUGAGAGUUUGAAUAAUUUCGAUGAAGAUGAUCCCGGAAUUUUUCGUUAUUUACUUGAUGAGUCUUUGAAAGAUGCUUGGGAUAGGCUAUUAAGGAUCCGUGCCAGCUAUGUGCCCCAAUAUCAAAUUGAGAUAUACCUAAAAAGCUUCUAUGUUGGCUUACCCUCUUCAUUCAAGAAAGUUUUAGAUUCUAUUUUUGAAGAAGGUUUUCUUGAGGGGGAUGCCAUAGAUACCUAUGAAAAGAUGAAAACUAUAUUUGGGCACCCCAUGAGUGAGAAGGUUGAAUCCACCUCUCUUUUGUGCUUUUAUCAAAAUGAAAUUAUCAAAGAUAUGAAGACUAGCUUAGAUGCAAAUUUCCGUAACGUGCUUAAUCUUUCUUCCACCAUUAAUGGACAUGUGCUUUCUCAAAAAAGAAAGAUAAAUGCUAUAGAUAAGAAAUUUUAUCUUUUCUUUCCCAAUACCAAAGAUGGCAAUACCUAGAUCUAUCCUUGCUUUAUGCCUAGCUAGGGGCGUUAAACGAUAACGCUUGUUGGGAGGCAAUCCAAUUUUAUUUUUGUUCCUGUUUAGUAAUAAAUAAUUCAUCUAGCCUCUGUUUAGAUAUGGUUUUUAUAUUUUAAUUAGUGUUUGUGCCAAGUAGAACCAAUAGGAUCUUCUUGGGUGAUAGUUGUUUGAUCUUGCUGAAAAAGACAGAAACUUUGCGCUCACGAAUAUAAUUGUUAAAAUUCACCAGAACGUGAUAAAAUACCAAUUCUUUCUGCAGUAGAUCAAUAUACAAAUUAUCCAGGUUGUCCUAGUUUUUCAGAAUUUUUGGGGUUCCAGAAGUAUUCGAGAAAAUCAGAUUUCUACAGAUUGUUCUGUUUUUGACAAAUUCUGUUUUUCUUGUGUUGUUUGCUUAUUUUGAUGAAUCUAUGGCUAGUAUCGGGGGGUAUGAACCAUAGAGAAGUUAGAAUACAGUAGGUUUAACACCCAUAUAAAAAAAGAAUGAGUUCAUUACAGUACCUUAAAGUGGUGAUUUGUUUUCUUUCACUAACGGAGCUCAUGAGAUUUUCUAUUUAAAUUCUGUGUUGUGAAGUUUUCAAGUUUUUGGGUAAAGAUUUGAUGGAUUUUGGAAUAAGGAGUGGCAAGAGCCUAAGCUUGGGGAUGCCCAAGGCACCCCAAGGUUAAAUUCAAGGACAACCAAAAGCCUAAGCUUGGGGAUGCCCCGGAAGGCAUCCCCUCUUUCGUCUUUGUCUAUCUGUAACUUUACUUGAGGCUAUAUUUUUAUUCACCACAUGAUAUGUGUUUUGCUUGGAGCGUCUUGUAUGAUUUGAGUCUUUGCUUUUUAGUUUACCACAAUCAUCCUUGUUGUACACACCUAUUGGAGAGACACACAUGAAUCGGAAUUUAUUAGAAUACUCUAUGUGCUUCACUUAUAUCUUUUGAGCUAGAUAAUUUUGCUCGAGUGCUUCACUUAUAUCUUUUUAGAGCACGGUGGUGGUUUUAUUUUAUAGAAAUCAUUGAUCUCUCAUGCUUCACUUAUAUUAUUUUGAGAGUCUUUUAGAACAACAUGGUAAUUUGCUUUGGCUAUAAAAUUAGUCCUAAUAUGAUAGGCAUCCAAGAUGGGUAUAAUAAAAACUUCCAUAUAGAGUGCAUUGAAUACUAUGAGAAGUUUGAUACUUGAUGAUUGUUUUGAGAUAUGAAGAUGGUGAUAUUAGAGUCAUGCUAGUUGAGUAAUUGUGGAAUUGAGAAAUACUUGUGUUGAAGUUUGCAAGUCCGGUAGCAUGCACGUAUGGUAAACGUUGUGUGACAAAUUUGAAGCAUGAGGUGUUUCUUUGAUUGUCCUCCUUAUGAGUGGCGGUCGGGGAUGAGCGAUGGUCUUUUCCUACCAAUCUAUCCCCCUAGGAGCAUGCGCGCAGUGCUUGGUUUUGAUGACUUAUAGAUUUUUGCAAUAAGUAUGUGAGUUAUUUAUGACUAAUGUUGAGUCCAUGGAUUAUACGCACUCUCACCCUUCCAUCAUUGCUAGCCUCUUCGGUACCGUGCAUUGCCCUUUCUCACCUCGAGAGUUGGUGCAAACUUCGUCGGUGCAUCCAAACCCCGUGAUAUGAUACGCUCUAUCACACAUAAGCCUCCUGAUAUCUUCCUCAAAACAGCCACCAUACCUACCUAUUAUGGCAUUUCCAUAGCCAUUCCGAGAUAUAUUGCCAUGCAAAUUUCCACUGUUCCGUUUAUUAUGACACGCUUCUUCAUUGUCAUAUUGCCUUGCAUGAUCAUGUAGUUGACAUCGUAUUUGUGGCAAAGCCACCAUUCAUAAUUUUUCAUACAUGUCACUCUUGAUCCAUUGCCCAUCCCGGUACACCGUCGGAGGCACUCAUAUAGAGUCAUAUUUUGUUCUAGUAUCGAGUUGUAAUCCUUGAAUUGUAAAUAAAUAGAAGUGUGAUGAUCAUCAUUAUUAGAGCAUUGUCUCGUGUAAGGAAAAAAAAGAGAAAGGCCAAAUAAAAAAAGAGAGAGAAUGCCCAAAAAAAGAAAGGCCAAACAAAAAAAGAGAAGGCCCACAAAAAAUGAGAGAAAAGGAGAGAAGGGGCAAUGCUACUAUCCUUUUACCACACUUGUGCUUCAAAGUAGCACCAUGAUCUUCAUGAUAGAGAGUCUCCUAUGUUGUCACUUUCAUAUACUAGUGGGAAUUUUUCAUUAUAGAACUUGGCUUGUAUAUUCCAACAAUGGGCUUCCUCAAAUGCCCUAGGUCUUUGUGAACAAGCAAGUUGGAUGCACACCCACUUAGUUACUUUUGUUGAGCUUUCAUACAUUUAUAGCUCUGGUGCAUCCGUUGCAUGGCAAUCCCUACUCCUCGCAUUGACAUCAAUUAAUGGGCAUCUCCAUAGCCCGUUGAUUAGCUGCGUCGAUGUGAGACUUUCUCCUUUUUUGUCUUCUCCACACAACCUCCAUUAUCAUAUUCUAUUCCACCCAUAGUGUUAUGUCCAUGGCUCGCGCUCUUGUAUUGCGUGAAAGUUGAAAAAGUUUGAGAAUACUAAAGUAUGAAACAAUUGCUUGGCUUGUCAUCGGGGUUGUGCAUGAUGAGAGCAUUUUGUGUGACGAAAAUGAAGCAUGGCCAAACUAUAUGAUUUGGUAGGGAUGAGCUUUCUUUGGCUAUGUUAUUUUCAGAGGACAUAAUGGCUUAGUUAGUAUGCUUGAAGUACUAUUAUUUUUAUGUCAAUAUUAAACUUUUGUCUUGAAUCUUUUGGAUCUGAACAUUCAUGCCACAAUAAAAGAAAAUUACAUUGAAUAUUAUGUUAGCUAGCAUUCCACAUCAAAAAUUCUGUUUUUAUCAUUUACCUACUCGAAGAUGAGCAGGAAUUAAGCUUGGGGAUGCUUGAUACGUCUCCAACGUAUCUAUAAUUUUUUAUUGUUCCAUGCUAUUAUAUUAUCUGUUUUGGAUGUUUAAUGGGCUUUAAUAUGCUCUUUUAUAUUAUUUUUGGGACUAACCUAUUAACCGAAGGCCCAGUGCAAAUUGUUGUUUUUUGCCUAUUUCAGUGUUUCGCAAAAAAGGAAUAUCAAACGGAAUCCAAACGGAACGAAACCUUCGCGAGGAUCUUUUUUUUGGAACAAACGCAAUCCAGGAAACUUGGAGUGGACGUCAAGGAAGCAAUGAGGUGGCCACGAGGCAAGAGGGCCCGCCCCCCACCCUCGUGGGCCCCUCGUAGCUCCACCGACCUACUUCUUUCGCCUAUAUAUACUCUAAUACCCUGAAAACAUCCAGGGGAGCCACGAAACCACUUUUCCACCGCCGCAACCUUCUGUACCCGUGAGAUCCCAUCUUGGGGCCUUUUCCGGCGAUCUGCCGGAGGGGGGUUCGAUCACGGAGGGCUUCUACAUCAACACCAUAGCCUCUCCGAUGAUGUGUGAGUAGUUUAUCACAGACCUUCAGGUCCAUAGUUAUUAGCUAGAUGGCUUCUUCUCUCUCUUUGGUUCUCAAUACAAAGUUCUCCUCGAUGUUCUUGGAGAUCUAUUCAAUGUAAUACUUUUUGCGGUGUGUUUGCCGAGAUCCGAUGAAUUGUGGGUUUAUGAUCAAGAUUAUCUAUGAACAAUAUUUGGUUCUUCUUUGAAUUCUUAUAUGCAUGAUUUAAUAUCUUUGCAAGUCUCUUCGAAUUAUUGGUUUAGUUUGGCCUACUAGAUUGACCUUUCUUGCAAUGGGAGAAGUGCUUAGCUUUGGGUUCAAUCUUGCGAUGCUCGAUCCCAGUGACAGAAAGGGAACCGACACAUAUUGUAUUGUUGCCAGCGAGGAUAAAAAGAUGGGGGUUAUAUCAUAUUGCUUGAGUUUAUCCCUCUACAUCAUGUCAUCUUGCCUAAUGCGUAACUCUGUUCUUAUGAACUUAAUACUCUAGAUGCAUGCUGGAUAGCGGUCGAUGUGUGGAGUAAUAGUAGUAGAUGCAGAAUCGUUUUGGUCUACUUGACAGAGACGUGAUGCCUAUGUACAUGAUCAUGCCUAGAUAUUCUCAUAACUAUGCGCUUUUCUAUCAAUUGCUCGGCAAUAAUUUGUUCACCCACCAUAAUAUGUGCUAUCUUGAGAGAAGCCACUAGUGAAACCUAUGGCCCCCAGGUCUACUUUACAUCAUAUAAGUUUCCGAUCUAUAAUUAUAGUUUACUAUUUAUUUUGCAAUCUUUAUUUUCCAAUCUAUACAACAAAAAUACCAAAAAUAGUUAUCUUAUUAUCUUUAUCAGAUCUUACUUUUGCAAGUGGCCGUGAAGGGAUUGACAACCCCUUUAUCGCGUUGGUUGCAAGGUUCUUGAUUGUUUGUGCAGGUACUAGGCGAUUUGCGUGUAGUCUCCUACUGGAUUGAUACCUUGGUUCUCAAAAACUGAGGGAAAUAUUUACGCUACUUUGCUGCAUCACCCUUUCCUCUUCAAGGGAAACCAACACAUGCUCAAGAGGUAGCAGUACACCGCAAAAUAUCAUCUAUGACAACACAAAAUUUAACGUAAAAAUGUUGUGGCUGACAUGCAUGAAUGACUUGAUUCCUUUGAAGAUAAGACAUGCAUGACUUGAUUAGGUGGCAUGAUUUGCAAGGAUAGAUUAAUGCAAAGAAAUAAUUCAUGUGUACGGGUCAUUCUCGUUACCUUCCCCGCCUUCAUGCCUCGAUAAAACGGUAGCCUGGUGAUGUAGGGCACACUUUGAAGAUGGACCAAGAGGAAUAACAAGAACACAAGGGGACCAUACAAUCAAAGAGAAGAUCCUAAUCACACAUGCACUAUUUCCACAAAUCCACACAUGGUAACAAGAUCUACAAUCAACUAAGAGAGAGUAGCCAGGGUAGUUCUUCCCAAAUCCAUAAGGGGUGAGGGCUUGCCAGUCUAGUUAGAUCCUUCUCCCUUAGGAAGUCUUAAUGAUCUAGAGACACUAGUACACACGAUCGUUAUCCACAUGGUUUGAAUCCCUAAUUGCUGAUUAUUUCUGAAAAUGUGUGCUCAUGUGGGUUGGUGAUGGGGGGUCAUCCCUGACCAAAGCGAAAACAUUUGCGAUAACAAAAUCGUCUCGCACGUCUUCCAUUAAAGGAAUUAUAGUUGAACUGCACAAAAAAGAGAUUGGAAUGACUCAAGGCCCCUCCUU